CUGGUCUUUAACUCCUAGGUUCAAGCUAUCCCCCCACCCUCGUCCCCCAGCCUGGUUCCCCGCUAGGCCUCCCAACGCACUGGGAUUACAGGCGUGAACCACCGUGCCUGGUCUCUUUACCUUUUUUUGAGUGUACGUCCAACUCAAGUGACUUCCCAGUUCAUCCACCAUGUGUUGGUUUAUCCAACCUACACAUGCAUUUUGAGGGCCUGCUGUGUGUACAAAGACAUGGGAAGCCAGGCACUCUUUUUCACUUGUUUUUUUUUUACCUUGAAGCCCAGCUAAGAACACAGAUUUGUUCAUGAAAUAUCUUUUCCUCUGGCUUUAUUCAUUCUGAGUAAGUAAUGAAUUCGGCUGAAGCUUCAGUCUUGUUAGGAAAACUGGUUCUAGGAACCAAGGGCAUGAGGCCCAAUCUCUAGGUUAAGCUGGGUUAAGUUCAUUAGGCAUAACGUUAGAAAAAAAUUAGUUUUUUGUCUGACACCUUUUCCAGUGGGAGAAGCUGGAUUGAAAAGUUUUCAACUUGGCUGUGUAAUCCAGCAUCAGGAAAACUGCUGCCCUCUUCAACCCAUGUACAUUUUAAUCUCCCCUAUCCUGGAUUCUGCUGAACAGAUCAGCCCUAAUCCUACACAGGCACAGUGCAGUCAGGGAUGGUGAUAUCACAGGGUUGAAGACAAGAAAGACAGAUGUGUGCCUGCACCCAGUUGCUAGAGCGUGGAGGCAAUAAUGAUGGAACAGAAGGCAAGAGGCUGUCAUCGUUCACAUCACAAGGACCAGAGACACCUUUCCUGGGAAGAGAGCUGACAACCUUCUGUGGUAAGGGGUGAACAUCCUUGGGAAGCCACAGAGAGCAAGGCGCAGUUUUUCAUUGAUCACCACUUUCAAGAUGCUCCCAGAAUCGUGCUGUCUAGGAAGCCAUUUAAACUGGUGAGAAGCCAUCCUCUCUUGAAUGGGGGCUCCCACUGUACAUCUGGCACCCACUUCACAGAUUCUGGGGGAUGUCAACACCAGCACUGCUGAGCUGUGUGACCUUGAGCAAGACAGUUAGCCUCUCUGAACCUCAGUGUCCUUCUCUGUAGGCUGGAGAUUGAUAUACCUUCAUUAUCGGGGUAUGAGAGUGUUAUAAGGUGGGAUGGUGGAACACGCUGACUGGUCUGGGCUAUUCAAGAUCCAUGAACUGGAAGAUGCUUUCUUAUAACUCAGAGAAAAGAGAUGAAAAUGAAUCAAAGAACAGGAAGGAGACAAGCUCAGGAGAGUCACCCUAAGAAGGAUGUGUGGAAGACUUGACUGGAGGAUCAAAAUGUGUCGGGGGAAGGUGUACAAGGAGGAGUAAGGACACAGAUGUCCUGACUUCACACAGUGGGGGAUUAGAAGCCACCAUCAAACACAGAUGAAACAGGAAUAAAAGUAGUAGUACAUUACUUAAGCUUUAAAAGGGUAAGACUCCUGGGAAUUUGGAAGCUGAGACUUGAGGCAAGUAUUUAGGAUUUGCUGUCUCACCUCCCUGCUAUGACAGUCCUUAAUUAAUGGAGAUGAUGGAGAACAGCUUGCUGGGCUGAGUGGCAGGAGCCAUGCAGCUGCUGGGGCUGGAGUGGGUCAGGAAGCUUCAUCAAUCUGGGACACAUGACGUGCUUGGUGGUGGCGGAGCCUGACGCAUCCCUCUUCAUCGACAUUGUGUCAAUAGGAGCAGAGGCAUUUAGCUGUGUAAACACAGAGCUUCAGUGGCAGCACCCUAAAUGCUUAGCUGAUAGAUCCGGAAUUAAAUACAGACCUAGAAACUGGAGUUGGAAAACUUCCUGGCAGCACUCCUUCCCUGCCAUCCCGGUGAUCCCCUUCUGGAUGGAGGGUGUGGAGCUCAGCACAUUCACGUCUGCAGUUCUCAGAGAACCAAGUGUUAAGGAAUGUCAGGGAAGGAAGAAGGCAGCCAGCCAGGAAGGGGAGGUCCUGGCCUGAGCACGCCAGGCACAGAGGGAUAGAGGGUAGGGAGGAAACUGCACCUGUCUCCAACCCUCGACCCCAGCCCCGAAACACGACAUUGGCUGAAACAGAUUAAAAGCAUAAAAUGGCCCAAAGAAAUGGGAGAAGGUUGGCCUCUGGUCGGGCAAACAUGAGGGCAUGAAGAUAUAUAAUGUCCCACACGGGAGGAAACCCUUGCCGGGCCCCUCAGGAUUUAUAACAAGCUCACCUGAAGGAGAAACUUCAGGGGCACUUACACCAUCAGAUACCUAGAAAGGAGCUGUCAUUUCCUCACUGAAGAGUUUGCAAGCAGAUGGUAAAAGGGGUUUAAUUUGAAAACACUGAAACAUCGUGUUCGCUCAAAACCAUGACAAUUGCAGUUUUAUUGUCUCCACUCAGGAAAAUGUGUGUCUGGAUCAUCUUGUGGCCCGAAUGGGGAGAAAAGAUGCAGUAUUCCAAAGCAGGAGAUUCACUGAAAAAGAUGUUUAAGAAGUUGCUGAUGAAGAAAAGUUCAGGAUUCACAGCUCCAUACAAAGGGAAUAGCCACUUUUCUCAUUUUGAGAUAUGACUACUAACAAGUAUUAUUCUGCAUCUUCAGCCAGGCUGUGGAAGGCCCCAUUCUUUCUGUAACACAGAUGUUCAAUUGGAAUUUUCCAUCUGGUCACAUAAUUCUGCUUUGGGAUUUAACAGGUUAACUUGGCACUGGUCACUGGCCUUGGAGGGCAAAAUAUGAUAGUUCAGCAUAGAUUCUAUUUGUUGAUAACUCAUCAUAGCCACAUUGGCAUCAAUAAGUUUUCUGUAGGGCACACUUUUCCUUUAAUGUGGACACAGUCACAUAAUAAUAUGCUUAUGGUGCAGACGUUGGUUCUAAACUCACUUUGCAUUAUCUGUAUCUGUAUCUGCAUCUAUAUCUGUAUCUGUAUCUAUCUGUAUCUACAUCUGUAUCUGUAUCUGUACUUAUAUCUGUAUCUGUAUCUAUCUGUAUCUGUAUCUAUAUCUGUAUCUGUAUAUAUAUCUGUAUCUAUUUGUAUCAUCUAUCAGUAUCUGUAUCUAUAUUUGUAUCUAUCUAUAUCUGUAUCUGUAUCUGUCUGUAUUUGUAUCUGUAUCUGUAUCAUCAAUCUGUACCUGUAGCUGUCUGUAUCUGUAUCAUCUAUCUGUAUCUGUAUCUAUACUUGUAUCUGGAUCUAUAUCUGUAUCUAUACUUGUAUCUGUAUCUAUAUCUGUAUCUAUCUGUAUCUGUAUCUGUAUCAUCUAUCUGUAUCUGUAUUUUUAUCUGUAUCUUUAUCUAUACCAGUAUCUGUAUCUAUCUGUACUUGUAUCUAUCUGUGUCUGUAACUGUCUGUAAUUAUUUAUCUACAUCUAUUUCUAUCUAAUCUCAUUUUAUUUUUAUUUAUUUUUGGAGCAGUUUCAGGUUCACAGCAAAAUGGAGCAGCAAACACAGAGAUUUCCCAUACAACCCGGUCCCCACAUGUGCACAGCCUCCCCCAUUGUUAACAACCCCUGCCAAGGUGGCAUUUUUGUUAUAACUGAUGAACCUACAUUUACACAUACUUAUCACCCAAAGUUCAUAGUUUACAUUAGGGCUCACUCUUGUUGUACAUUAUACAGAUUCAGACCGGUUAUGAUGAUACGUCUUUAUCAUCAUGGUAUUGUACAGAGCAGCUUCAUAUCCUAAAAAUCUUCUGCACUCAGUCUGUUCAUGCCUUCCCACUAACCCUUGGCAGCCACUAAUCUUUUUACUGUCUACCUUCUUUUGCCUUUUCCAAAAUGUCAUAUAGUUGGAAUCAUACAGUAUGAGGCCUUUUCACAUUGGCUUUUCUCAUUUAGUAAUAUGCAUUUAAGACUCCUCUCUGUCUUUUUACGGUUUGAUAGCUCAUUUUAUGACUUGAUAGCUCAUUGAUUUUCAGCACUAAAUAAUAUUUCAUUGUCUAAAUGUACCACAGUUUAUUUUUCCAUUCAUCUGUUGAAGAACAUCUUGAUUUUUUCUAAGUUUUGGCACAUAUGAAUGAAUAAAGUUGAUAUACAUAUCUGUGUGCAGAUUUUUCUGUGUAUCUGUUUUCAGCUCCUUUGGGUAAAUAUCAAGGAGUAUGAUUGCUGGAUAGUAUGGCAGGAGUGUGUUUAGUGUUGUAA
RNAcentral lists this long non-coding RNA (4083 nucleotides) under Homo sapiens (human). Its description in RNAcentral is "HSALNT0397311". The record is from RNAcentral. Lineage: Eukaryota; Metazoa; Chordata; Mammalia; Primates; Hominidae.